GCGGGUGUAGCUCAAUGGCAGAGCGCCAGCCUUCCAAGCUGGAUGUGAGGGUUCGAUUCCCUUCACCCGCU
This 71-nucleotide transfer RNA is filed under the name Pirellulaceae bacterium. RNAcentral describes it as "tRNA-Gly". It matches the Rfam family "tRNA". Rfam says of the family: Transfer RNA (tRNA) molecules are approximately 80 nucleotides in length. Lineage: Bacteria; Pseudomonadati; Planctomycetota; Planctomycetia; Pirellulales; Pirellulaceae. The record is from RNAcentral.